Molecule: RNA transcript, 1531 nt
Organism: Pyrus x bretschneideri (Chinese white pear)
Lineage: Eukaryota; Viridiplantae; Streptophyta; Magnoliopsida; Rosales; Rosaceae
Exons: 8
Source: RefSeq, a predicted model, not a curated record
CAACAAAACAAACGACUCGACGAAUCCAUUCCGAAAGGGACUUUUUCGACCACCACCACCACCACCACAAACAACCACCGCGAAGGUGCCGAAUUUUCAUGUCACCAACCAGUCAGUAACUUUUUUCGAAAAGAAAGUUGGCACUUCGUCGAACAUAUUCGAAUCAUUAUUAGAAAGAGGAAAGAAGCGCAGUGAGUGAGUGGCUUUUAGAGAGAGAGGGAGGGAAGGUGUGGAUGGCAACUCAGCAGCUUGCAAUCAGAGGGAAGAGACGGCGGAUAUGGGGAGGAACGUUUCUGUGUUGGGUUUUGUUAAUGCUGGUCACUCCCAAGAUUCCUCACUCCCCUAAACAGCAUCUGUACGCCGACAUGCGCAAUUUUCUGGGAGUGCCUAAUACCUUGAACGUGAUCACAAAUUUGCCCUUUUUGGUUGUUGGCGUUCUGGGUUUUGUGCUCUGCGUGCAAGGGGGGCUUUUCAACAUCAGUUUGCCAGGCGAGGUUUGGGGUUGGGCGCUAUUCUAUGCUGGAACAGCAGGGGUUGCAUUUGGGUCCGCUUAUUAUCAUUUGAAGCCUGACGAUAGUAGAGUAGCGUCGGACACCUUGCCGAUGAUGAUUGCAUACUCCUCCCUUUUCUCUAGUUUUAUAGUGGAGAGAGUGGGAGAACAGAUCGGUUUAAGCUGUCCGUUUGCAUUUCUUUUCUUUGCUUUUCUGAGCAUUGCAUAUGACAGAACGUGUAAUGAUAUCAGGUUGUACACGAUGUUCCAGUUGAUUCCUUGUAUAGCAAUUCCAACAAUGUCAUGUGUGUUCCCACCAAAAUAUACUCACUCAAGAUUUUGGCUUUGGGCCGCAGGGGUUUACCUUCUCUCCAAAUUUGAAUCUGUUGCUGACAACAAAAUCUACCAUGCAAAUCAUUUCAUUAUCAGCGGACACUCGUUGGAGCAUUUGUGUUUAGUGAUGGUCCCUGUUCUGCUCAGUAUUAUGCUCAUGAAUAGAAACAUUAAAUGUCAAAGAUUAGACGCCUUUAAAGAACGCUUGUGAUAGAGGCAAGGAAGAGAUGAUGGCGUUUUCUGCGCAGCGGCUAUCAGAUGCUCGAAAACUUUCUGUAGAUGAGGAUUCAUUGCAGCUGUGACGUGGUGACUGCCCAUUGGCCGCCACAGCGCAGGGGAAAGUGAAAGAGGUUCAAAGGCCCAAGUUUUGUAACUGUAGUUACUGUAAUUGUGUCAAACCCUAAAUUUGAGUAUUGAUAUGGUCUGCGCGAGGGCAACCAACCUCGCUUAGCGAAAUAAGACUUUGAUAUUGUGGUUGUCGUAAAGCUUCUGAGGGAAUAAUUGAAAUUACACAUAUCACCUUUGGAGCACAUGUAUGGCAUUGGCACAAAAUUCCUUCACAUGUAUACAUGUGCACAAAGGAACAAAGGCAUGUUUUUGUAUCAUGUGAUGUCAGCAUUGUUUUAGAAUUUAUAUGAACAUUUAUUUUUUAGAAUAUUAUGUAUUAAAAGUAAAUACUCAUAUAAUGUAAUAAUUAUAUUUUAUGGA